GAUGAACGCUGGCGGCGUGCCUAAUACAUGCAAGUCGAGCGAACAGACGAGGAGCUUGCUCCUCUGACGUUAGCGGCGGACGGGUGAGUAACACGUGGAUAACCUACCUAUAAGACUGGGAUAACUUCGGGAAACCGGAGCUAAUACCGGAUAAUAUAUUGAACCGCAUGGUUCAAUAGUGAAAGACGGUUUUGCUGUCACUUAUAGAUGGAUCCGCGCCGCAUUAGCUAGUUGGUAAGGUAACGGCUUACCGAGGCGACGAUGCGUAGCCGACCUGAGAGGGUGAUCGGCCACACUGGAACUGAGACACGGUCCAGACUCCUACGGGAGGCAGCAGUAGGGAAUCUUCCGCAAUGGGCGAAAGCCUGACGGAGCAACGCCGCGUGAGUGAUGAAGGUCUUCGGAUCGUAAAACUCUGUUAUUAGGGAAGAACAAAUGUGUAAGUAACUUUGCACGUCUUGACGGUACCUAAUCAGAAAGCCACGGCUAACUACGUG
Molecule: ribosomal RNA, 497 nt
Filed under: uncultured bacterium
Lineage: Bacteria
Description: partial 16S ribosomal RNA
Rfam family: Bacterial small subunit ribosomal RNA
Source: RNAcentral